RNAcentral lists this ribosomal RNA (253 nucleotides) under uncultured bacterium. RNAcentral's name for it is "partial 16S ribosomal RNA". It matches the Rfam family "Bacterial small subunit ribosomal RNA", at positions 524 to 776 of the family's 1533-position model. The record is from RNAcentral.
UACGUAGGGAGCAAGCGUUGUCCGGAAUCAUUGGGCGUAAAGCGCGCGUAGGUGGCUACAUAAGUCCGUUGUGAAAGUCAAAGGCUCAACCUUUGAAAGCCGAUGGAUACUGUGCGGCUAGAGUACGGAAGAGGCGAGUGGAAUUCCUGGUGUAGCGGUGGAAUGCGCAGAUAUCAGGAGGAACACCAAUAGCGAAGGCAGCUCGCUGGGACGUUACUGACACUGAGGCGCGAAAGCGUGGGGAGCGAACAGG